RNAcentral lists this ribosomal RNA (1437 nucleotides) under Diplopelta globula. RNAcentral describes it as "partial large subunit ribosomal RNA". It matches the Rfam family "Eukaryotic large subunit ribosomal RNA", at positions 23 to 1464 of the family's 3401-position model. Lineage: Eukaryota; Dinophyceae; Peridiniales; Diplopsaliaceae. The record is from RNAcentral.
ACCCGCUGAAUUUAAGCAUAUAAGUAAGCGGAGGAAUAGAAACUAACAUGGGCUCCCUCGGUAAUGGCGAAUGAACAGGGAUCGGCUCACUUUGGAAAUUGGGACUCAUGGUCCUGAAUUGUAAUAUCAAGAUGUAAUACCAACAGGAGUGCGGGUGUAAGCCUGGUGGAAAAGGGCAACGGUGAGGGUGAGAGCCCCGUGUGUCGUCUGUCGCUUGCUGUUCACGGUGUUCAUGCUAAGAGUCAUGCUCCUUGGGAUUGGAGCGUAAAGAAGGUGGUAAAUCUCAUCUGAAGCUGAGCACUAGCUUGAGACUAAUAGCAAACAAGUACCAUGAGGGGAAGGUGAAAAGGACUUUGAGAAGAGAGUUAAACAGUGCUUGAAAUUGCUGAAAGGACUUUGAGGGAAACCUGUGUGGCUGGAUAAGAUUGCUACGGUUCCUGCCUUUUCUUUCCACGUCAUGCCAAGUGUUGUGACAGUGUGUAAGCAGGAUGUGUGCGGUGUCUCUUUUCCUACCUGCUUCCUUUGGCUUACGUGUGAUAAAACUUAUACUGCAUGGUUGUCUAUCUUUUGAAUUACGAAUGCGAUCGAGUUUAUUUACAAGCAAGUGUGUGUGGUCACUACAAGGUUUCAAUCGCCCCGUCUUGAAACACGGACCAAGGAGUCUAACAUAUGAGCAAGCUCAUGGGUAGUGGAGGCCUGCAUGUGUAACGAAAGUGAGUGCUGGGAAAUGAUGCACCAGCAGCCGACCAAUCACUUGAGAGAGGUUUGUGCGUGAGCAUGUUUGUUAGGGCCCGAAAGAUGGUGAACUAUGCUUGUGAAGGGUGAACUCAGGGGAAACUCUGAAGGAGGCCCACAGCGAUACUGACGUGCAAAUCGUUCGUCGUAUAUGGGUAUAGGGGCGAAAGACUAAUCGAACCAUCUAGUAGCUGGUUCCCUCCGAAGUUUCCCUCAGGAUAGCUGGAGCUGGGCAAUUUUAUCAGGUAAAGCGAAUGAUUAGAGGAAUCGGGAGCAUGUUGCUUUCGACCUAUUCUCAAACUUUAAAUGGGUAAGAUCCUGUGGUUGCCCGGGUGAACUACUGGGAUCAAUGGUGCUUCUAGGUGGGCCAUUUUUGGUAAGCAGAACUGGCGAUGAGGGAUGAACCUAAUGCUGGGCUAAAGCACUCAACUGCUCGCUUAUUUGAUACCAUGAAGGGUGUUGGUUCAUUUGAACAGCAGGACGGUGGUCAUGGAAGUCGAAAUCCGCUAAGGAGUGUGUAACAACUCACCUGCCGAAUGGACUAGCCCCGAGAAUGGAUAGCGCUUAAGCGUGUGGCUGAUACUCAGCCAUUGCUGCAAUUGUGUCUGUGCCAAUGAGUAGGAGGGCAUGAGGGCUUGUGACGACUCUUGCGGCGUAAGCCUGGGUGAAACGGUGUUUGGCGCAGAUCUUGGUGGUAGUAGC